GACGAACGCUGGCGGCGUGCUUAACACAUGCAAGUCGAACGGAAAGGCCCUGCUUGCAGGGUACUCGAGUGGCGAACGGGUGAGUAACACGUGGGUGAUCUUCCCUGCACUUCGGGAUAAGCCUGGGAAACUGGGUCUAAUACCGGAUAGGAGCCAUUUUUAGUGUGAUGGUUGGAAAGUUUUUUCGGUGUAGGAUGAGCUCGCGGCCUAUCAGCUUGUUGGUGGGGUAAUGGCCUACCAAGGCGGCGACGGGUAGCCGGCCUGAGGGGGUGGACGGCCACAUUGGGACUGAGAUACGGCCCAGACUCCUACGGGAGGCAGCAGUGGGGAAUAUUGCACAAUGGGCGCAAGCCUGAUGCAGCGACGCCGCGUGGGGGAUGACGGCCUUCGGGUUGUAAACUCCUUUCGCUAGGGACGAAGCUUUUUGUGACGGUACCUAGAUAAGAAGCACCGGCUAACUACGUG
This 465-nucleotide ribosomal RNA is filed under the name uncultured bacterium. Its description in RNAcentral is "partial 16S ribosomal RNA". It matches the Rfam family "Bacterial small subunit ribosomal RNA", at positions 28 to 507 of the family's 1533-position model. The record is from RNAcentral.